AUGAUGUCAUCAGGAAGGGACAGCUCUGUUUGCAGUUGGUUGCAGAAAUCUGUCCCACUUCUGUCAAAGCGGCCGAUAAACCUGCUGCUAGCUCAACAGAACUAGGUCCUGCAAGUUAAAAGCAAGCCCCCAAAGGUCUCAAAUCCCUCAGGUGCUCAAAAAAUGCCAGGAGGAGUACAGCAAGGGGAGCCAGAGGACAGUUUGAAGAAGGCGCUGUAAAAGAAACAUGGAAUGGAGAGAACGAACUGCGACAUCGCAGUCAUGCUUCCUUCCCCAGGCCACACUGGAAACAGUCAAGUCUGCACCAGCAGCGCAGUUUGAUUCCCAGCCACCUGAAAUGUGGAUUAGGCCUUUCGACAGCUGGAGAAUCCUCCAUUUUACAUGCAAAACCAGAAUUGCCAUGUGAGUACAGGAAUCUAUUCCGCGAGGGGGGCUCUGGCUGAUUAAAUAUCUUGUGAAUAACACAAAGCUCAGUAUACUCUAAAGUGGUCAAAGCCUUCACAGACUGUUUUGUGAUUUAUGAAGGGGUUUAGCUGAACCUCUGCCAUGAAUGUUGCUUGGGACCUGUCAGUGGUACAGCUAGAUAAUUGUAGACCCUGGAUUUAAUUGUUUGCUCUGUGUGUGUGUUUGUGUACGUUAGAUGGCAAUGUGCAUUAAGCAACUUUUAUCUUUCCCCACCUUCCUUUACAACUGCUUCUAUAUUCUUGGGAAGGUAGAGAAAAACAAAACAAAUUUGCCUAACUCUGAUUUAUAUAUCUACUCAGUUUUGCAUUUUGAUUGAUUAAGUGUAUUUAUAUGCCACUUUUUGCACCAUGAACAUCAAAAUACAGAAGCAAUGGAAAAUACAAAUAUACAGAAUACAGAACAUGUCAGUAAAUCCAGAAAUGACAAAAACCUAUAGUUUGGCCAGUGCAGAAUAAAUGUAAUAUUACAAACAACAGCAGCAACAACCCAGGCUUAAGAAAAUAAAUGAAAAACCAAACAAAUUUUAAACUCACUUAAAUCUUAGCACUAUUACGAACACACUAAAUUAAGUUUGCUUCUGCUUCCCAGAUGCUGAACAUAUUGGGGAAAAGCACCAGUUAUUGUAGAAAAGGAUAAUAUAUAUUUAAAGUAAAAAUAAUAAAAUUAGCAUCUAUAAAAAUGUGCAUUCCUGGCCAGCUACUGCUGACUAUUAUUUUUUGUUUUUGUUUUUGUUUUUUUAAAAAAACAAUAAUGGAGUGGAAAAGAAUGUUGCAGCUGCCAGAGUCAGCCCCUUUGGGCCAGCCUGGCAUUCCCAUGCAAGCCUAAGUGCUGACUCUGGGUCUGUGGGUUGGAUUACUGUAACACUUGCUGUGUGGGGCUUCCCUUGAGGUUGAUCUGGAAGCUGGUGCAGAAUGCUGCCGUGAGGUUACUCAGCGGAGUCUCCAGUUGCAUACAUAUUACACUACUCCUAAACGGGCUGCAGUGGCUGCCAGUAAGCUAUGAGGCCGAUGCCAGGGUUUUUGGUUUUAGCCUAUAAAAACACUGGAUGAUUUUACUUCUGAGCUAAUAUGCAUUGGAGAUUCAAACUGCCAGUUUACUUGGGAUUGCCAUCUAGAAUUCUGUUAAGCAUUCCUUCAUGGGGAAUAAUAUAUGUACCUGGCCAGUUCCAUUGGCCAGUUUCAUCAGCUGGGGCUGAUGAGAGUUGGCAGUCUGAUAACAGUUUGAGGACCACAGGAUUUCCAUUUGCUGCUGUAGUUAAGUGGAUUUUCCAAUGUUGCACUACCAUUUUGUCUUCUUUCUUUAAUCAAUGUUUUUAAUUUCUGAAUGGUUUUAUACUGGAACCUUCUAUUGCUACCUAUUUUUUUCCAGUCCUCUAUGUGCUUACUCAGAACACGGCCCUUUGAAUAUAGUUAUAUUGGGCUGUGUCUGAUAAGUAGUUUGUAGUUUGUUAUUGUUGCAAACCGAUUUGGAAAAGUGGCAUGCUAAUACUUUAAAAUUAAAAUAAUACACUUUCAAAUGAACAAAAAGGGGUGGCAAAAAAGAUUGUUAAUAAAGAUCUGACUAAAGAUGGAUGCUACAGUCUCCGAUUAAAAGGACUGGAUCAUAUUACACAUUUCGCAAAACCAGGAGGAUUAGUUUGUAAUGCAGUAGGAACUUGAGUGUUGGCUCUUGAAUAGGACAGAGUAAGUCAGAGUCCUUAGAAAUCCAUAUUCCAAGGAAAUGGUGUUGUAGUCACUCUUGAAUGUCCAAGGGAUUUUGCUUGCUGACACCAAGUUGAUGUUUGUCCAGCACUAGAAUUACAAAUGUCUCCUGUUUUAUUUUAAGGGACAUUCCCUUUUCUACACAUUUUCACAUCUGUACUGCUCUCUUUUUCCAGUGCAGGAACUUCAUAUUUUAUGAAAUUAACCCAUACUUCAGAAAACUAAAACUUCUACAGCUCCAGCAUCAUUUCCUCCCCUUUCUUCCUCUUUGGUCUUACUGUUAAGGUUGCUUUGGCAAUUAUAGCUCUCCAUUACAAGGCCAAUCCUUUGUCAAAGGUGACUGUGGCUAACUUGGAAUGGGUUUGCUUUCCAAAGUUGUCUCCAUAGGUAAAAGCAGCCCUGGGUCUGCACUGUAUGUAGCCAACUUGGAACUGAAAUGCUUUAGUUUUCCAGAUCCAUAUCUUCCGAAGGGAAGGGCUCUUUGCAUGUACUUGAAGGCACUUUGUUCAUUUAAAAAGCAAAACAAGCCUCGUUUCCCUUCAGAGGGGAAAGGUAUUCUGUACACUCUCAGAUGCACUCUGCUCUUAGUGAAAAUUAAAAUCAAAUGUAAGGUGAUUUGCUAUAGGACAGCAAGGAAAGACUUUUGCCCACCCCCCACUUUCUGUAGAAAUGUGUUGGCGCAACCUGCUGCUAACACUUCUUUCCCCUGCCAGUUCUUAAAAGCAGACCAGAGAAAGAGUGUAAAUAGUUUCCCUACAAUCUCUAGUUUGAUAAAUGAGUGUUUCAGCUCAUAUCUGCAGUUCUCUGGCUUCCUUCCUGAGUCAGUGUCCCUUGGCUGAGCUGUAAGCGUGCUCAGAGGAAAUGCCCCUCUCGACACUUGGGGAAGCUUCACACAUAAAGUCCCCUCACCCCCAUGCCAGGGGAAAAUACUGUCCGCUAUCAUGUGUGAAAAUUGCGUGACUCUGUUUUGCCACGUGAACACACAUGUUCCAGAAGAUUAAACGUGCUUAGUUGCAGUAAAAUGGAUUCUUACUCAGACAAUUUUCACACACAGAAGUCUACCGAGAUAUAAGGAAGAUUUCUUUUCCUCCACUGAGGCUGUGAUCCCAAGCAUGGUUACUAUGUUAGUUGGAGCCUGUGUCCAGGAAAGCAUGCAAAAGCCUAAUACUGCAAUGCUAAACACACAUAUAGGGAAGUAAGUCCCACUGAACAGGUAAAUCCUAUUAUUUUAAAUCAUUUAUGAAUUACUUCCUAGGAGACAUCCUAAAGCAAUUUACAUUAAAAAUCAAUUAUAUAUAAGUCAAUUACAUAUAUCAAACAGUUAAAACUAUUGCAUAUCU
Podarcis lilfordi (Lilford's wall lizard) is the source of this 3505-nucleotide non-coding RNA. The record is from the annotation of a GenBank genome assembly. NCBI's taxonomy places the organism in Eukaryota, Metazoa, Chordata, Lepidosauria, Squamata, Lacertidae.